This 947-nucleotide non-coding RNA is filed under the name Brachaluteres ulvarum (Japanese inflator filefish). Its description in RNAcentral is "12S rRNA". It matches the Rfam family "Bacterial small subunit ribosomal RNA". The record is from RNAcentral. Lineage: Eukaryota; Metazoa; Chordata; Actinopteri; Tetraodontiformes; Monacanthidae.
CAAAGGCUUGGUCCUGACUUUUCUAUCACCUUUAACCUAAUUUACACAUGCAAGUAUCCGCACCCCUGUGAGAAUGCCCCACAGUUUCCAGCAGGAAACAAGGAGCUGGCAUCAGGCACAACCCCUGUUUAGCCCAAGACGCCUUGCUUAGCCACACCCCCAAGGGACCUCAGCAGUGAUAAACAUUAAGCCAUAAGUGAAAGCUUGACUUAGCCAAGGUUAAGAGGGCCGGUAAAACUCGUGCCAGCCACCGCGGUUAUACGAGAGGCCCAAGCUGAUAGACAUCGGCGUAAAGCGUGGUUAGGAGCCCCUUCAAAUUAAAGUCGAAUGUUUUCAAGGCUGUCAUACGCAACCGAAAACUAGAAGCACAACAACGAAAGUGACUUUACAACUUCUGAACCCACGAAAGCUAAGGCACAAACUGGGAUUAGAUACCCCACUAUGCCUAGCCCUAAACAUUGAUAGUUAAAUACUUUUCUAUCCGCCCGGGGACUACGAGCAUAAGCUUAAAACCCAAAGGACUUGGCGGUGCUUUAGAUCCACCUAGAGGAGCCUGUUCUAGAACCGAUAACCCCCGUUAAACCUCACCUUUUCUUGUUUAACCCGCCUAUAUACCACCGUCGUCAGCUUAUCCUGUGAAGGUCGACUAAUAAACAUAAUUGGCAUAGCCCAAAACGUCAGGUCGAGGUGUAGCGUACGAAAAGGAAAGAAAUGGGCUACAUUUUCUAUCUUAGAAAAUAACGAAUGAUAAGCUGAAAAAUGUAUCUGAAGGAGGAUUUAGUAGUAAGAAGGAAAUAGAGUGUCCUUCUGAAACUGGCCCUGAAGCGCGCACACACCGCCCGUCACUCUCCCCGAAUCUCAUUUUUAAUCUAAAUAAAACCCUUAAACUACAAAGGGGAGGCAAGUCGUAACAUGGUAAGUGUACUGGAAAGUGCACUUGGACAAAU